AAGGGUUCGAGUGAAAGCAUACCUGUCGACACCUGAAAGAUGGUGAACAAUUCCUGAGCGGGGCAAAUCCAGAGGAAACUCUGGUGGAGGCCCGAAGCGAUAUUGACGUGCAAAUCGUUCGUCUGACUUGGGUAUAGGGGCGAAAUACUAAUCGAACCGUCUAGUAGCUGGUUCCCUCCGAAGUUUCCCUAAGGAUAGCUAUAGCUCAUUCGCGAGUUAUAUCAGGUAAAGCAAAAAAAAAAAAUAAUUUCUUGCAAAAUUAUUAUAUUCAAUACACUUAGAUCUACAAGGAUGCAAAGGACUACAGAUUUACAACAAAAAAUAUUAAAAACAAACGAAUUAAAAAAAAAGUAUUUCAUCUCUUUAAUAACACUCUCUUUGUCUCUCCUAAUUCUAGAUCUGACAAAAAAAGAAAAAUAAUACCAAUCAAUUGAAGUAAACAUUGCAUCAACAACCCAACAAUGAAUAAGAAAGUAUUUGUAAGAAGAAGGUGCAGCAAAUCUCUUGUAUGACGUGGUUUAGGUUGCGAUUUUCAUGAAUCAUAGAGUAUGGAAGUUGCAAUUUUCAUGUGAUAGAUUUUUUUGGUGAAAUGAAUUAGUGUAGUGAAGGAGUUAAAGUAUUAGUGUACUAGUAUAAAUGGUGUGUUUGGAGGCUGUGAGAGAAUAAGAGAUUUUAGGGUUUGUAAGAUUAGACUAUUUAUAUUAGGUGCAUGAUGUAUGUUGGGCUUUGUCUUUUGGGCUUUUAGCAUAUAGCUAUUUCUCAUCCUUUUGUAAGUAAUAACCGGGUACCGGGUCUAAAAUUUUUGGAUUCGGAAUUGGAACUGGUUCUAACCGGGUCCAAAAUUUAGAACCGGACCCGGACCCUUUUGGACCAAUUCCGGGUCUGGACCCGCCGAGUCCAAACCGGUUCCAAAACCGGGUACCCUAUAUUUUGCUCACCCCUAAACAGGACGAUGGUCAUGGAAGUCGAAAUCCGCUAAGGAGUGUGUAACAACUCACCGCCGAAUCAACUAACCCCGAAAAUGGAUGGCGCUGAAGCGCGUGAUCUAUACCCGUCCGUCGGGGCAAGUGCACGGCCCCAAUGAGUAGGAAGGCGCAGUGGUCGCUGCAAAACCUAUGGAGUGAGCCAAGGCGGAGCGGCCGUUGGUGCAGAUCUUGGUGGUAGUAGCAAAUAUUCAAAUGAGUACUUUGAAAGCCGAAGAAGGGAAAGGUUCCAUGUGAACAACACUUGCACAUGGGUAAGUCAAUCCUAAGAUAGGGGGAAGCCUUUCCGAUAGCGCGUUUAGCGCGAGCUUUGAAAGGGAAUCGGGUCAAAAUUCCUAAAACGGGACGUGGCGGUUGACGACAACGUUAGGAAGUCCAGAGACGUCGACGGGGGCCUCAAGAAGAGGUAUCUUUUUUGUUUAACAGCCUGCCCACCCUAUAAUCGGCUCAUCCGGAGGUAGGGUCCAGUGGCUAGAAGAGCACAACACGUUUUGUGGUGUCCAGUGCGCCCCCGGCUGCCCUUGAAAAUCCAGAGGACCGAGUGCCGACCACGUCUGGUGGUACUCAUAACCGCUUCAGGUCUCCAAGGUGAACAACCUCUGGUCGAUGGAAUAAUGUAGGUAAGAGAAGUCGGCAAAAUGGAUCCGUAACUUCUGGAAAAGGAUUGGCUCUGAGGACUGGGCACGGGGAUCCUAGUCCCGAACCCGUCGGCUGUCGGCGGUCUGCUCGAGCUGCUUCCGUGGCUAGAGCUAGUCGCCGCGUGCCGACCGGGGGACGGACGGGGAACGAUCCCUUCAAGGGCCUUCCCCGGGCGUCGAACUGUCGUCAACUCAGAACUGGUACGGACAAGGGGAAACCGACUGUUUAAUUAAAACAAAGCAUUGCGAUAGUCCGUGCGGAUGUUAACGCAAUGUGAUUUCUACCCAGUGCUCUGAAUGUCAAAGUGAAGAAAUUCAACCAAGCGCGGGUAAACAGCGGGAGUAACUAUGACUCUCUUAAGGUAGCUAAAUGCCUCGUCAUCUAAUUAGUGACGCGUAUGAAUAGAUUAACGAGAUUCCCACUGUCCCUGUCUACUAUCUAGCGAAACCACAACCAAGGGAAUGAGCUUAACAGAAUCAGCGGGGAAAGAAGACCCUAUUGAGCUUGACGCUAGUCCGACUUUGUGAAAUGACUUGAGAGGUGUAGGAUAAGUGGGAGCUUUGGCGCAAGUGAAAUAUCACUACUUUUAACGUUAUUUUUUUUAAUUCGUGAGUCGGAAGCGUGGCAAGCCCCUCCUUUUAGACCUAAGGUCCGCUUUGCGGGCCGAUCCGGGCGGAGGACAUUGUCAGGUGGGGAGUUUGGUUGGGGCGGCACGUCUGUUAAAAUAUAAUGCAGGUGUCCUAAGAUGAGCUCAACGAGAACAAAAAUCUCGUGUGGAAAAGAAGGGUAAAAUUAAGCUCGUUUGAUUCUGAUUUUUAGUACGAAUACAAACCAUGAAAGCAUGGCCUAACGAUCCUUUAGACCUUUUGAAUUUAAAUCUAGAGGUGUUAGAAAAGUUACCACAGGGAUAACUAGCUUGUGGAAGCUAAGAGUUCAUAGCGACGUUGCUUUUUGAUCCUUCUAUAUCGGCUCUUCCUAUCAUUGUGAAGCAGAAUUCACCAAGUGUUGGAUUGUUCACCCACCAAUAGGGAACGUGAGUUGGGUUUAUACCGUCGUGAGACAUGUUAGUUUUACCCUACCGAUGACAGUGUUGCAAUGGUAAUUCAACCUAGUAUGAGAGGAACCGUUGAUUCACACAAUUGGUCAUCGCGCUUGGUUGAAAAGCCAGUGGCGCGAAGCUACCGUGUAUUGGAUUAUGACUGAACGCCUCUAAGUCAGAAUCCGGGCCAGAAGCGACGCAUACAUCCGCCGCCCGAUUUCCGUCCUAUAGUAGGGGCUUCGGCCCCCAAGGGCACGUGUCGUAGGCUAAGCUCGCGCGGUGGAUGCGCUGUGAAAGCCGUCUUGAAGUACAAUUCCUAUCGAGCGGCGGGUUGAAU
RNAcentral lists this ribosomal RNA (2998 nucleotides) under Chenopodium quinoa (quinoa). Its description in RNAcentral is "eukaryotic LSU rRNA". It matches the Rfam family "Eukaryotic large subunit ribosomal RNA", at positions 784 to 3301 of the family's 3401-position model. The record is from RNAcentral. Lineage: Eukaryota; Viridiplantae; Streptophyta; Magnoliopsida; Caryophyllales; Amaranthaceae.